Molecule: transfer RNA, 68 nt
Filed under: Neuroperla schedingi
Lineage: Eukaryota; Metazoa; Arthropoda; Insecta; Plecoptera; Eustheniidae
Description: tRNA-Phe
Rfam family: tRNA
About the family: Transfer RNA (tRNA) molecules are approximately 80 nucleotides in length.
Source: RNAcentral
AUUCAAAUAGCUUAGAGUUAGAGCGUGACACUGAAGAUGUUAAGGGGAUUAUUUUUGAUCUUUGAAUA